Molecule: long non-coding RNA, 17149 nt
Organism: Orcinus orca (killer whale)
Lineage: Eukaryota; Metazoa; Chordata; Mammalia; Artiodactyla; Delphinidae
Exons: 3
Source: RefSeq, a predicted model, not a curated record
CACGAAAACCUCUAAUUCAAUAAAUAAUUUUUCUCUUUUUAAUUCAGAACGCAUGCCAUCAUUUAAAAAUGGAAGUCCACAAGACAACGCAGCUGCAAUACUAAGCUACAGCGCGACGUGCGAUUUGGUCAACGAACGCUGCUUUCCUUCCCCUGCUGAACUCAUUCGUGCCGCCAGUCCUCGCGCUCCGGCCGAGGUGGGAGCCGGCGACACCGGGGCGGGGACUGGACGCGCACCGAGAAGGCGGCCUCCGAUUGUCGCCCGCCCCGCGGGAGCGCCCACCUAGCCCCCGGGACCCUGAGGACGGAGGUCUCGCUGCCACAAAAUGGCGCUGAGGGAGGAAGCGAGGUCCCGUCGCCCCACCCCCUUCCCGCUCCUCCCGCCGCCCCGCCCCGCGACGCCGCCGGCGCCCGCCCGCUUAUCCGCCCCGCCCGCUUCUCCGCCCCGCCAUGUUAGCGCCCGGCCCACUCACCGACCAGUUGUCUCACGGACGCGGCCACAGCUUCCCGCCCGCCGGGCCCAGCCGCGGGGAGGAAAGGCGAAAGGAGGGCGCCCGCUGAGGGCCUCGAGUCGCUACAGGAGGAGCUGCGCCUGGUGGCACGCCCCGCAGCCGCUGAAGCGCUGCGACCUCGGCGGGGGCGGGGAGGGAAGCGGGCCUCAGGGAGUGGUGAGCCGCGAGGUCGCAGGUCAGCCGCGGGGCAUCACGGGAAGGGCGGCGGGGGUCGCGAUUGGCGGCGCCGGGUGGACGCGCUCCCCGGGCGGACAAGCUCGCCGGGCCACCUGCGGCUGCGGCGCUGCCUCUGGCGGAGGAAUCUGGGCGAAGGCGGCGUGUGAUUGGCUGUCCUUUGGUACAGCACCCAUCUGUGAUGCUUCCGCGCGCUGUCGGCAAGGUGCAACCUUAGGAGCGACGCCGUGGGCGGGGAGUGCGAGCAAUUGAGGCUUCGUGAGCCCUUGCUGUUUGAAGUUCUGAGAGUUUGGAAACCGAUGCUCUUUCUUCCGUCAGGAAGUGCUGCUUCCUGGACGCUUGGUUCGUCCCCGCCUUGAAAUCUCGAGGUGAAACCGGGGAGCUAUUGUCUAGUACGUGGAGGUUUUACCUAUGUCAGCAGCUCUAGGGGCACCUUGCUAACGCAGAAGCGAGGGGAAGGCGAACCUUGUGAGGUUUUAAUGGAACCGAUAAUAUAAGGUUUUUAAUUCGAAUAUACGCCCUUACGCAAGGCUGUGUGUCAUCCGGACCGUCGCGUAAGACCGAUGGUGUUACCUGGUAGACGUGAAACAAGUCUCAUACUUCCUACAGGGGUCAGGUAAUCUUUUGAUUGGGCUGCCCUUAUCCAAUUUUACCAAAACCGUUUAUCCCCAAAGGAGGUGUUCUGGAAUGAGGUGAUUUAUGGGGAUGAGAUUAAACUAUACUCCAGAUGGUCAAAGACCAAAAUCCGAAGAGAAAAAUGGGCAAGGACAUGAACAGACAUUUCACACAAAAGACCAGCAAUGGUCCGAAGCGUAGAAGUCUGUUCGUCCUCACUUAUAAUGGAAAUGCACAUUGAAAUUACACGGCAGUGGAGAAACAGUGCUCGUAAAUUUCCUGGUGGGAAUGGGAAAAUGAUUCAGGCCCUGUGGAGUACCAAAAUUAUAUAUGCACUUAUUCUUACGUCUUGCAAUUUCACUUCUAACCCUAACCUUAUUCUGAAAAUACACCUUCACUUAUAGAAGCAACAUGUAGGCAGGGUUACUUGUUGUAGUGUCAUAGCAAAAGUUAUGAAAUAACUCAAAUGUCCAUUAAUAGGGAACUGGUUAGACACCGUACAUCCAUAACAUGAAAUACAAUGCAACCCCCCCCCAAAAAAAGAAUGAGGAUGCUGUUUAUAUGUUGCUUUGAAAUGCGUCCCAGGCUAUGUGGAAAAUUGGAAGCAUAUCCUAGAAACAAUAAAAAUGGUUACCUAUAGAGAGUGGUGGGGAAAGGUGGAGGCGAAAGAAAUAAAAGCAAGACUUCUCUGACUUUGAACUUUUGAAGUUUUAUAUAGCCAAAAAGUACAUUGAAAAGGAAACAAACCCAAAGUUGAUAGCAAAUUAAAAUAAACUUAACUGUAAGUCACAUUGGUAAUGCAACUAUCUGGUUACACAGAGAAAGGAAUUAAUUCCCCAGGGCUUUUGGACAUAGUACUCUAAGAGAAUUAUCUGUGGUGAGAUAUAUUCUAAGGUUGAGAAAGAACUGCAAAGGAAUCUUCAGCUUCGCUCAGUGGUUUAUAAUUAAUGGUAAUUUUGUUGCUGUGGUUUGAAAGUAUGUAUAUUGUAGGAUAAUACAAACAUUUUCUUUUUUUUUUUUUUUUUUUUUGCGGUACGCGGGCCUCUCACUGUUGUGGCCUCUCACGUUGCGGAGCACAGGCUCCGGACGCGCAGGCUCAGAGGCCAUGGCUCACGGGCCCAGCCGCUCCGCGGCAUGUGGGAUCUUCCCGGACCGGGGCACGAACCCGUGUCCCCUGCAUCGGCAGGCGGACUCUCAACCACUGCGCCACCAGGGAAGCCCUAUUUUCAUUUUUAAUGUACAAGACUUUAAGUGUAAGAGAAAAUGAUGUACAAAUAUAAGAUCAAGGAAGUUCAGAAAAAACCUGUACUACAUUUAAAUUGGAUAUAUCAAUUUGAGCAUAUGAUUUAAAAAGUAUAUUUACUGCUUCUGUGCACCGAAAGGGCCUAGAAGCACUAGGAUGAUGACCAAUUGUCCCAGUUUCCCCGGGACUGAGGGGAUUUCCCCAGAUGCUGCACUUUGUGUUAAAACUGAAAGUGUCCCAGGCAAACAGGAUGGUUGGUCGCCUUACAGUAACAAUAAGCACAUUUGCCAUGCCUUGGUUUCUAAAUUCCAUUUCCACUAAAUAGAACCAGAGCUCCUUGGAGAAUUGGCUGAUUCCUGUUCUUGAGCAGAGAACGUGCAAGAUGAAUCAGACAUUUUGUUGUGCCUGAAUGUAAAGGUAGUGCUUAGGUUAAUAAAGAUAGGUCAACAGGACUUAGGAGAAUAGGCAAAACUUAUCUAUAGGGAUAGAAGUCAAAUCUGGGCUUGGCUAGGAGUGGAAAACAGCAGGAAUCGGUUGGAAAGGAACAUGGGGGAACUUUUUGGGUUGACGAAAAUAUUGUAAAUCAUGAUUAGAAUGGUGGUUACCCAGUACAUACAUUCGUCAGUAUUCAUCAAACCGUACCACUAAUGAGUGCGUUUAAUGUAAAUUAUACCUCAGAUUUGUUACACCUCAUAUAACUUUUACCCUCAUGUGUAUGUAAAUGAACCUCAGUAACGCAUGAAGACCAACCCAAUGAGAAAAGCAAAGGCUAUUUCUUCAGAGCUUGCUAUAGGAAGAGAGUCAACCAUGAUCACUUGCAUUUUGGCAGAGACUCAAAGGCAAGCAGAGGAGUGGGAAGGCUUCACAGUGGAAAAAAUAAGGGCUUCAGCUGUGCCCUGUUGGAGGCUGUUGGCACAGAGGAGCUGGAGGUGGCUAACAAAAAGCAAGGCAUUCUAUGCGGUUGGAUAGGGCUGCAUAUUCGGCUUUCUCUCGUUGGUUCCAAGUUGGAAGUGGGGACAAAAAUUAGAGAAGCAGUCAGAUUUUAAUCAAGUCCUGGCCGUUUUGAGCUGAUUGUUAUACUCAUUGUUUAUCUUCCUGGAUUGUUACUUGUGAUAGCAAUCUGACUUCCUCCAAGUGUGACUUACAGCAGGCUGGCUUCCGGGGCUCCUUAUAGCAGCUGAGGGGAUUGGUUUCCUGGGCACGCUGCUGCAGGUUGUGGGUCAGAAUUCUUGUUCCUUUUGUGGUCUGGCCAUGUCCUUUUGUAUAUUCAGUCUUCAGAAGUAAAUUUUUAUUUUUAUUUAUUUAUUUAUUUUGGCCAUGCCCCGUGGCAUGUGGGAUCUUAGCUCCCCAACCAGGGAUCAAACCCUCGCCCCCUGCAGUGGAAGCGUGGAGCCUUCACCACUGGACCCCCAGGGAAGUCCCCAGAAGUAAAUUUUUAAAAGACACAGGAACCAGCUUGAAGGGUCUCCCACAGGCCAAACUUAAGGCAAAUUUUAGCAUCAAAAAGCAAAUGACUACAAUUGACUAUAGAUACUGAAUAGUUAAAAAUCUGUGACUCUCCAGUUACACUUGAUGAGAGACGAAGGGGGACUGUUUUUCCAUCACUGGAAAUGGCUAUCACACCAGCUUCUUACUCUGAAAAUCAGUUAUUAAAAGGAAAAAUAUCGUUUGCUCUGCCUUCCUUAAAAAAGGAGAACUGUGGUUCACUCUGGGUGGUUGAGGAAAAACUCUUCUUUACAAUAGGGUGCUAGCGGGCUUCCCUGGUGGCGCAGUGGUUGAGAGUCCGCCUGCCGAUGCAGGGGACGCGGGUUCGUGCCCUGGUCCGGGAAGAUCCCACAUGCCGCGGAGCGGCUGAGCCUGCGCGUUCGCGUCCGGAGCCUGUGCUCCGCAACGGGAGAGGCCGCAACAGUGAGAGGCCCGCGUAACGCAAAAACAAACAAACAAAAAAACAAUAGGGUGCCAGCAAGUAAAUAUAGAAUAAAUGAUAUAAUUAGAAGGUAAUUAUUAUGCAAGUCCUAAAGAAAGAAUUGAUUCAGGCAAGGAUUAUUAAUGGACUUUAAAACCUUUAUGUGGGACUUCCCUGGGGGCACAGUGGUUAAGUAAUCCCCCUGUCAGUGCAGGGAACACGGGUUCCAGCCCUGGUCCGGGAAGAUCCCACAUGCCGCGGGGCAGCUAAGCCCAUGCACCACAACUACUGAGCCUGCGCUCUAGAGCCCGUGAGCCACAACUACUGAGCCUGCGUGCCACAGCUACUGAGCCCGCGUUCUAGAGCCCGUGCUCCACAACAGGAGAAGCCACCGCAAUGGGAAGCCCGCGCACCGCAACGAAGAGUAGCCCCUGCUCGCCGCAACUAGAGGAAGCCCGUGCGCAGCAACAAAGACCCAACGCAGCCAAAAAUAAAAAUAAAUAAGAUAAGUAAAUUUACUAAAAAAGAAAAAGCUAAUGGUGUUUAGUCUUCUUUGUCUUUGCAGACCACAAAGAACUCCACAGGUACUCUAAAAAAUUAUAUAUGAUUAGAUUUCUAUCAUAAUUUUACUAGUACUAUUUUUUAUAUAUUUAAAAAAAUUUUAUGUGUUUAUUUAUUAUUUAAUCAAUUUAUUUAUUUUUGGCUGCGUUGGGUCUUCGUUGCUGUGUGUGGGCUUUCUCUAGUUGUGGCGAGUGGGGGUUACUCUUCGAUACAGUGCACAGGCUUCUCAUUGCCGUGGCUUUUGCUGUGGAGCACGGGCUCUAGGUGUGCGGGCAUCAGUAGUUGCAGCACGUGGGCUCAGUAGUUGUGGUGCACGGGCUUAGUUGUACCGUGGCACGUGGGACCAGGGAUUGAACCCGUGUCCCCUACAUUGGCAGGUGGAUUCUUAACCACUGUGCCACCAGGGAAGUCCCACUAGUACUAUUUUUAAAAUGCUGUUUCAUUGUACCUAUCUCUUUGAAUAUAAGGCUGAACACUUUUCCAGGCUUUGCUUCCUUGUAUUGUUUUGAAUCAAUAUAUUUGUCAUAUGGGCUUCCCUAAUGGCGCAGUGGUUGAGAAUCCGCCUGCCAAUGCAGAGGACACGGGUUCGUGCCCCGGUUCGGGAAGAUCCCACAUGCCGCGGAGCGGCUGUGCCCGUGGGCCAUGGCCUCUGAGCCUGCGCGUCCGGAGCCUGUGCUCCGCAACGGGAGAGGCCACAACAGUGAGAGGCCCGCGUACCGCAAAAAAAAAAAAAAAAAUUGUCAUAUACCCAAGAGAUAUUCACUAGAUACCUGCCAUUAUUGUAUUAAGUACAGUCUUGAAAGAGAUUUUAUCUCCCAAAUAGUAGCUAUAUAUUUGGAUUUCAAUCAUUCUGAAUCCUUGGUGGUAGCAGGGAGCAGAGAUACUAGAGGUGUAGGGAACUCAGACUCACCUGUUCUUGGAAACAGGCUUGUCCAAUUACUAGGAAGUCCUUUCACUAGAAAAAAUAAAGGUGACCCUUGGAGAUAACUUCCGUGUCUUGAUCUCCAUUCCUUGUAAAUAACAGCGCUUUCUGAAAAGGAAUCAGUGUGCCAGCAUUGAGUAAGCAACACCAUCCCCCUUCCAACCUCCACCAGGGUACCAUGGCACAACUGCUGGGAGCCUCGUGCUUCUUGCUCUUGGUCCCCUCAUUGUGUUUGGGUCAUCAGCCCGUGAGGUGAAUUAUGGAUGCCAUGAGCCAGUGUUUCUUAGUAGGAAUGCUAUUGGUAUUUUGAGUAAGACAGAUCUUUUUGUGUGUGUAAAAGUGUACUGUGCAUCUUAGGACAUUUAACAUCCCUAGACUAACUCACUAAAUGCCAGUAGCCCCUUUCUUUUUGUGUGACAACCAAAAGUGCCCCCUCUAUAUUUCCAGUACCUCUGGAGGGGCAGGAUGCCCCUGCUGAGAACCCUAGUCAAUUGUGGGCAUUGUGGUCUUUACCAAAUAGUGGCGCCCGGUCUUCUCGCAGGCAGAAUUGGCCAGUUGACCAGUUCUGGCCAGGACCAGCGGAUAUCUCCUGGGGCUUCUGAGAAAGAGUUUCCUCCCUGACAAGAGACAUGCGCAUGAGGAGAAAGUGCUUUUUCCCCCCCUCCCUUCUUGUCUCUUAACUGGCUGGGAGGGGCUGUGAUCCUUGCAUCUGUAGAAACCAUCUUAUGACCAUGACUACCAGGUGGGAAAACAGAAGCCAGCCAGCUAAGAAUGCAGAGUAGAGGGUGGAAAGUCCCUGGGUCCUAGAUGACAUUGGUAAGCUUCCAAACUAACCCAGGGACUGCCAGCUGUUGGGCUUUUUAUGAAGUAAAAUAGAAAUGUUCUUAUAUUUGAAACCACUGUCCAUAGGAUUCCUGUUACCCAUUGCCAAACACAUCGUGACUUACACAGAGAAAAAGCAUAUUUACAUGAUAAACAAGUUAAAGAAAAUGGAAAAUUACCAACAAAGCUAGGUUUUUCUAAGGAAUAUAUAUAUGUAUAAAAUAAAGGAAUUUACCUGCAGAGAGUUAACUGUUCAAAGUCUUAAGAUAUGAAUUGUGUUUCCUUUACUGAACCCACGCAUCAAAAUAAUUGUCCUUCCUGCAGCAUUUUGCUUUAUUGUUGCUUUGACAUUACUUUAUGACUACAGCCCUCAUUGUUCAGCAGUGCGAUAAAGCAGACAUUUCAAUUCCAUCAUUCACUUCCAGAAAAUCAGACUUUACAAGACACAGACUUAGGUACAUUAAAAAUAUAAGGAGCUUGGAGAACCUUAUAUUCAGAACUUUUCAAAAUACUAUUCUGCUUGCUCUGAUGCUCACAAACUGUGUUUAACCUAUGGGAGCAACAGGUAAAUUCUGUUGGGUCGAACACUCAGUGAAACCUCUUCUAAUUUUUAAAAAGGAAAGCUGUAUGUUCCCCACACAUUAAAGACCUACUAGCUCAGGAGACAGUCCAUCUGGAAACCAUAUGCCCGAUUCCCCAAGACAAACUGCAGAUCUGUGCUUCUGCCAGAGAAGUGCACUGGACUCUGGGCAGUUGUUCUAAUACUGACCGUGCUGACCACCUGCUACAGAUGUCUGUUAGGAACAAUUGCAGACUUAUUUUCAUUGCUCUUUCCUGCCUUUAUUAACCUCCUAACUAUUUUCCUCUGUCCCACUCAUCUGUGUCUGGUGCUGCCAGCCAAGUCCAGGCCUUCAUCUUUUCUCCUAGUUGGUUCCCUGCCGCCCAUCAAAACCAUCUUGCACACAGGAAGCAAGCCCUUUUCUAAUGUAACUGAGCAAGGGCUCACGUGGCCGCAGUGCAGAAAGCCCAACUCAUAGUGGGUGUUUGCAGCAAAGUAAGGGCUUAUUUGCAGGGUAUCAGGCAAGAGAGUGGGAGACAAGCCUCAGGUCCACUCUGUCUUGGACUUUGAGUUAGGGAUGUUUUAAAGGGGAAGAACAAAGAAACUGGGAUUAAUCAUCGUUUUGUGACAUUUCUGACGAGACGUGAUGGGGCGCAUUCAGGGUGGUAUGGCCGUGGAUUUGUGACAUUUCCUAAUCGUGGUUUUAGGAGCCAGGAUGUCUGCGGUUUACCAUUCCCUGGCCAGGUGGUCCGUGGCUCCGGGGUCUGUGAGCUCAACUUGCCCCAGAGAAACAACCCGAGUUUGUACGUUAAUGAUAAGAUCUACUACAACUUUAGUACAUUAACGACGUUAUCGAUACAGCAAUCUCAGGCAUCUGACUCUGGUUGGUUAGUGUUCAGUUAGCACAGGAUGGAGAUUGGAGGAGACAAGAAAGGAAUUGAGGUCAGAGGAGACAAGCAAGGCAAUAAAGUUUGGGAUAGAGAGAUUAAUCAUGAACUCAGCAGGGGAACUCAGUUUUAGGGAGACUCGGUUUCACUAAUACAAUUCCAGGAGAGUUCCACCUCUGGAGAAACGGAGUAGACAGACUUUUCCAUGUUACUCUGUCUAAGCACAACUUAAGCUGGAAAAACCAACAGGUGCUGACAAAACAUGCUGCCCCAACAAAAGCCUGCCGCCUGUAACCAAAGGACCAGGGAAGGGGCAGCCCAGCAAGACAGCCUUUAGACAGCAACCACUGUCUCCAUCAUUUACUCCUGCAAAGGCUCUUGAUCUAAACCCCAGUGAGCCUGGAUGUGAUUAAUUGGAGAAGACACCAGGGCUGGAUUGCCCCACAACCUUGGCACUGGAAUCAGAGUCAUUUGGUACAACUUUUCAACAAAUUGCAAAAGAGAAAGUGCUUUAUAGUACUCUGGGAAAGAGCACCACCUAGUGAUGAACCAAAAGCAAAAAAAUGUAAACGUAAAUACUGUGCUUCCAAGCCCUCGGUCAAAGCCAAGUCAAUGUGGGUUGUUAAAUCACUACCCGAUCCCAACCUGGGGAGGCAGGCGGGGGUGUGCAGUCAGGAGAAGGGACUGAUGAAGCCCAGAUGGAAUGUGCUAGAAUGUUGCAGUUCAAAGCUGGGCUCAUCCCUCUUGGGAUGGGAAAAGGCUGUAUGAGAUGUGUCACCCAGUGUGGGGCUCAGAGAAAUCCAAGGUGUGGCUGGGUUUCUGGAGAGGAAAAAAAAUACGGGGGAAGGUAUAGGCAGAAAGAGAGGUGGGAAACUAUGGCCAACAUUUUGCUGGAUGUUUCCAUACGUUGUUUCAUUAGUCCUCACAACCAGACAUCUAGAGGAGUAAAGGCUUGUAUUUGUCCCGUUUGACAGAUGGGACAGCUGAGGCACAGAGAUUCAAUAACAGCACAGAUAAGGAGGGGUAAUCAACUCGGAUGAAGUUAGCUGAUUUCAGAGUCCACUCAAAUGUACACAACAGGCUUCCCUUAGGGACAUAUGCAAAAAUAGAAACCUUUGGCAAAAUAAUGGUCCAACUACGGCGAAGCGUGUGACCUAGAAUACGUUUAAUUUCAUCAGACUGAUACUUAGAUAAAAUGUCCUGUAUUUGGGACAUCCUUAUUUUCUGCCCGCAGACCCUUGAACUGCAAUAAGUCUCCCUCUCAGCAGAAGAAACCUUAGAUACAGAGGAAGGGGAUUUUGGUUUUGGUCCUGGGAAAUAAAUGCUGAAUAUAGCCAAGCAAUCCAAUAAGUUUGAGUAGUGCUUCUGCCCCAGACAGAGGAAUAGCCAAACGGUAAUGACGGCAGGUUUGGAGGCAAGGUAAGAGGGGCUGCAGUGUCCCCAGAGUCUUUCCUAAUAAGGAAAACCAGGCUGUCCAAGGCCACGUGCAGAAGGCAUGGAAAAGUUAGAUGUGUCUUGGCAAACAAGUGUUUUCAGAGGCCCAUUCUGGGAGCAGGGCUCAGCAGUGAUGUAGGACUGAGGGGGAGCCAUGUGGUGGUACCUGCUAGUUACAUUCCCAGUAAGACCACAGGCAGAAGCCCCGAUGCAUAGAAGGGGACCAAGCUGCUAGAAGAAGGGACAGGUGAGGGCCAGGAAGUGUUUGCAGGCCUCAGACAUUGGAAAAAGGGAAUGAGUAAUACAUACAGGAUCAACGCGAGCAGACACAUGUGCUUGUUGUGGGAAGGAAUCUUACUAGAAGGCAUUAAAAUGAGGUAAGUAUUUAAUAAGUUUUUAAAGGAUAAACCACGGUAUGGCGUUGACCAAGGCAUUUUUCUAAGCUCCACUACGUACUUGACUUCAGCCUUGGCCUUUGAAAAACUGGAGUCAAGUGCUAUCUUCACUGUCAUUUGGGCCAUCCCUGACCUCGUGCUGGAGAAGUGAUUGUGUAACAGCUAAGGUUACCACCAUAUUCAACUGGAGUAAUGACGUCAGCCAUAUAAUCAAGGCGUGUUGUUCAGAUUAAUUUGAAACUCUAGAGAGUUCCUAGAUAUAGCAUGGGGUGACAAUCUUCCUAUGUUCUGUGUUCACUGAAAUUCUAUCAGUUAGUUGUAUAAAUGCAUAUUCAUUAUACAAGAAGUUUAAAGGAGCUAAAUACAUCUCCCUUAUUAAAUAUCAUUAUUUAAAUUCUUAUAAACAUUUAUUGACUCAAAAGAAUACAACAGUCUUCUUAAAGUUACCUACUUAAUAUUGUUAUAACUUUCAACCUAUCUUCAAAUGUAUUUAACCUUUUAAAAGUUCUUAAUAAUUAUCUUUGUACAUAAGAUGCAUGAUUAAAAUUAACUUUCACAAUCACCAUUAAAUAUUAUGGUAUUUAACCCUUGCAGUAAUAAGUACACACUUAUACUUCAAUUGACAAUGACAGUUGUCAUGAGGUAUAGCAAUGACCUCAUCAGUAAUCUAGCAGCUGACAUGCUGAGAAAUUAUUAUAAUAUGAAGUAUUUAACAUUACUUUAAAUUUAAAUUUGAACAACUGCUGAAUGUUUUAAUAAGAGAAUAGUUUAAUUUAUUUUGAAUAAAACUUCAGAUUUAUUCUUGAAUUUCAAAGGUUCCUUCUGUGAUGGUGCUAUUUGUUGUUGACCAAGCAUUGAUCAUAACAAUUGGCUAUUAGGCAUUCAACUACAGUGUGCAUUGAUUGCAUUUCUAAAGUCUUUAGAAAGUGACUAAUAGAAUUAUCAUCAUAUUUCUUGGUAUCCUGUGAAUAUUCAUCGACAUCUUAACACUUAUUACAAUUACCAGUUAUAGAAUCCUUAAUAUAUGUAUUUGUGUGUGUGACAGACACCUGUUAAAUACCCACCAAGCCCAUUUCCUCCUCUUCCUUGGCACGGAGGUCAGCUACAUGGUCCUGCUUCUCUUACAGUCAGAUGCGGUGCGUGGCUGAGCAGAGAAUGGUGUGUGGGCAGAGGGGAUGUAUAGCACUUCCAGGCUGGGCCCAUUACCACCUUUCUCAUUCUCUUUGCCAUCUGCCCACCGGUGGAGCAGAAGGCAGGAGCAUGCAUGCUGGCCUGUGUGAUGUAAGCCCUGGAGAAGUGGGAGUCUGUCUGUCAGAACAGCUAGUGCUACUCUUACUAAUAGUCUUCUAAAGAAAUUUCAAGAAAUGUUUGAAAAUAACUCAGGAAGCCAUUAAAUGUCUAGAAGCAUCUAAGUUAUAACUUUGCACACUCCUUUAUAAAUUUAAAGGUCACGUCUGGGCUGAUUGGGGAUGGGUACUCUUAGGCAAGAUGCUGGCAUGAGCAAAGUUCCUCCUCUAAAAUUGCACCAAAAUGACUCAUGGGACAGACUUAUGGGGAAAAAAAUCCAGAUUAGUGCUGGAAAUCUGGAGGCCACUCAAAGGCCAGAAAUAUGGGAGGAUUUCUGGUAGAUGUAGCACUGAUGUGUUACCAUCACAUUGAGUAACAGUGACUCAUAGUAUGUGGUCAUAAAGUGACUUUCUUUUUGUCCCCAACUGUGUCAUUAUAUUGGCCUGGUGGACUUGUUUUUUUCCUUGCCCCUGGACCAAAAUGCUGGCCCCAUGACCAUUUAAAAAAAAAUUCUUAGGUAAUAAAAAGUCAUAAAAUCACUUGAAGUCAGAACAUAGGCGCUAUUGUAAAUGUCCAGUCCUGUGUCAUAAAACUCUGAUUUAAAGUUGGGACUUUGCCUCCUUCAGCACAAGCCUGUAGGAAGCCAGCAGCCCACAGUGAAAGAAAGGUGGGAAGCCGGUGGGUGUUAGGUUUCCCUCCUUGUUCUUGCGUUUCUCCUUUUCUAGCAAGCGCAUUGUGGCUUCAGACUUCUCCAGGGAUCGAGCUGCGGGAAUGUGGAGGUUCUGGUACUGUUCGUGGUGGUGGAGUGGGGGGAUUCGUGGGGGGGGGGUGUCUUACCUGACCACCACUGUCUUGCCUGGCCGUUGUUUAAAGUGGACUCUUUAUCUCCUGGUUUUGGAGACCAUCCUGAUGCUGAGGAUUUCUCACUUGGAGUUCAGUCUGAAAACCGAGGGACUGCAUCGUGUUCCAGGGACACAAGAAAAGAAACCCAAAUCUCUGCCUUGGACUUGAAAAGUUGAGGCUGAAUCUAAAAGAAAACCAGGCCAAUGGAAACUCAAAAUUUAACAAAAUGGACAUUAUGUCCCAAAGACCAGACCUUUAAACACAACUUCCAAAGUGCGAUCACAGAGAUAUUUGUUCUUCAUUUAGCACGAAUAGAUGAAAAUCUUCUUCCAUGUGAUCAGAAAAGUUGGAGUCACGCAGACAUAGAAAAAAAACUUAUGGUUACUAAAGGGAAAGGGUGGGGAGGAUAAAUUAGGAGUUUGGGAUGAACAGAUACACACUACUAUAUAUAAAAUAGAUAAACAACAAGGACCUAUUGUAUAGCACAGGAAACUAUACUCAAUAUCUUGUAAUAACGUAUAAUGGAAAAGAAUCUGAAAAAGUUAUAUAUUUGUGUGUGUGUGUGUAUAUAUAUAUAUAUUUAUUUACAUAUAUAACUGAAUCACUUUGCUGUAUACCUGAAACAAACACAAUAUUGUAAAUCAGUUAUACUUCUGGGGACUUCCCUGGUGGUCCAGUGGUUAAGAAUCCGCCCUCCAGUGCAGGGGAUGUGCGUUCGAUCCCUGUUUGGGGAGCUAAGAUCCCACAUGCCGCGGGGCAACUAAGCCCGUGUGCCGCAACCACCGAGCCCGUGCACUGUGGAGCCCACGCGCCACGACUAGAGAGAAGCCUGCGUGCUGCAAUGAAUAUCCCGUGUCCCGCAACUAAGACCCGACACAGCCAAAUAAAUUAAUUAAUUUAAAAAAAAGUUGGAGUCAGAAUAAAAUGUCACACAGUUACCUUAAACAAUGUAUUUUAUUUAUUAUUAUUUUAUUUAUUAAUUUAUUAAUUUUUGGCUGCGUUGGGUCUUUGUUGCUGCACGCAGGCUUUCUCUAGUUGCGGUGAGCGGGGGCUACUCUUCGUUGUGGUGCACGGGCUUCUCAUUGAGGUGGCUUCUCUUGUUGCGGAGCACAGGAUCUAGGCAUGCGGGCUUCAGUAGUUGUGGUGCACGGGCUCAGUAGUUGUGGCUCGCGGGCUCUAGAGCAGAGGCUCAGUAGCUGUGGCGCACCGGCUUAGUUGCUCUGCGGCAUGUGGGAUCUUCCCGGACCAGGGCUUGAACCCGUGUCCCCUGCAUUGGCAGGCGGAUUCUUAACCACUGCACCACCAGGGAAGUCCCAACAAUGCAUUUUAAUUUAAACAAGCAAAUGCAUAUUCAUUCAAUACUUUUCGAAUGAAGAGACAGAAUUGAUGCGUGGCCUGUGAUUUCCAUUUUCAGUUCUCUGAAGUGGAGUGGGAACUUAGACACCUAAACAGCAAUCUGAUCCUUUAUCUGUUUCAUGAUUUUCCCGAUGUUGUGUACUUGUUUUGCCCACAUCUAAUUGAACAGCGAUUGUUUUUAGUGGCUCACCUUUAUUGUCUUCGUAAAGCAUUCGAUUUAGUUUUCAUUAAAAUAACUUCCUUUCUUUUCACACUCAUUUUGUCAGUUUACAGAAUACUUAAUUAAAUUACAUAAUUUCAAUAACUAGUAAAUAAGUAAGACUAGAAGUGAAUCUGUUUUGGGAGCAAAUACACCUGACUCCUGGUAAAGUGACUCAAACUGUUGGGGGCAGUGGUGAGUGCUCUGGCCUGAUCAUUUGUGGGCCAUGGGCAUCCGUCCCAAUGCUCUACAGACGAACAGGAGAAUGUCUGUUAAUCUAGAAAGUUGUUGAAAUAGACUGUCUAUUAAAAAGCUUCUACUGUAUUUCUUCUGCCUGAACCAGCAUGGUAUAGUGGAAAAAGCAUGGAUCUUGCGGUCAAACAGACCUAGGUUUAAAUCUUGUAUUGUUUCUAGUUCAGUGACUUUAGGAAAAUUACUUAAUGUCUCUGAAUCUCAAUUUCUUUAUUUGUAACAAUUGGUAAACUAUUCAUGAGAGUUCAACAAAAUCAAUUAGGGGAAUUGCCUAGUGGCGCAGUGGUUAAGAAUCCACCUACCAAUGCAGGGGGCACGGGUUCGAUCCCUGGUCAGGGAAGUAAGAUCCCACAUGCCACGUGGUGUGGCAAAAAAAAAACAUAAACAAAACCAAUUAGUAAAGAUUCUGGUAUGUAGGUGCUCAGUAAACAAUAGCUGCUGCUGCUGUUGUUGUUAUUUUUUUAUUAUUAUGUGUGGUUGUUUACCUGUUGGUCUUCAUCUAACCAAAAAUCUGGUUUUGUUGUGCCGGUUAGAUGUCUUCCAUUUCAUCCCUAGCUGGGCUGGCCACACUGCGAAAUGAGUCUGAUUCCUGGGUCUGCAGCCAGCUGGCAUUGUCAUCAUCCUCUGGACUUCCAUGACUCAGCUACUGUGACUGACUAUGUGGUGGUUACAGACAGUGGGGGAGAAGGACUCUCACCAUCUUCCCGUCCCGCGUGCCGGUACAUCAGAAGGACCCCCGCUGAAGUUAUUUGUCUUGCUACUAAUUGGAAGUUCAUCAGACCAAGCUUCAGGCCAGGACUGUAUUGAGGCUGAGAAGACUUGAACAUGGAAGGGCUGGGGUAGCAUCAUAUGCAACGGGCCAACUGUGCCCAGAGCAUCACCCACCUGGCGCCUGGACCUCUCUGAUCUCCUUCUGAGCCCUUCUUGGUCCCUCAUUCUAUUCCUCAACCUUGCUUUUCGUGAUCUGGCAUCUCUUUGCCGACUAACUCACUUGGUUUGACGUUUUUGUUAAUAGUUUUACCUCUAGGACAGUGGUUCUCAACUGGGAUGACUUGGCACCCAAGAAACAUUUGGCCACGCUUGAGGCAUUUUUAUUGUCACGAGUGGAGGUGGGUGAGGGCUACCGGCAUCUAGUGUGGAGUGGCCGGGCGGCAGGUGAAUAGCCUACAAUAUACAGGACAGCCCUCACAGCGGGAGGGUUAUCUGGUCCAAAGUGUCAGCAGCGCUGAGGUUGAGGUUGAACCCCCUGCUCUCUAGGUUCUGGCCUUUGACCCCAGUCUCCAGUCUUUGAGUGGCCUCAGGCCUUCCUGUCAGCACCCCCAGACACCACUAUCCUUCCUGGGUGACAGGCUCCGCAGGACUAUGACGGAGCUCCCGAGGGUGAGGGCAAUGGCUCGUUCUACCCCGAGCUCACAGCAAGCUCAGCAGCCAGAGGACAGUCCGUGCAGGUUGUUUAAUGAGCAACAGUAGAACGUGAAGUUUAAAGCACUCGUUGAAAUCCAUUCUCAACUACCCUCCAACUCAAUUAAUAGUGGCAGCUGCUACCGAAAGCAAGAUUAUGAAAUCCCCGAAGCCUGGCGCAGAGGUGGAAAGGCUCUUGUUCUGGGCGCGCUGGGCAGGUUUGGUCGCUUUUCCCAUCAGGAAAUACAGAAGAGGGACUGAGGAGAAAUAAGAGCUGCCUCGGGCUUUAACAGUGUCGGGCUUGAUCCUUCCCAGUUUUGCUCCCCCCUCACGGCCUUGGAGAAAGGGGGUCAGGGGGUGAAUGCAGCUUGUUCAUUGAGGGUGAACUUGGACACCAGAGCCCACUUCUCUUUUUUUGGCCACGCCGCUUGGCAUGUGGGAUCUUAGUUCCCUGACCAGCGAUUGAACUGUGCCCCCUGCAGUGGAAGCCUGGAGUCCUAACCACUGGACCGCCAGGGAAGUCCUCAGAGCCCACUUUUCGUCACCACGUUUCUGAAGGUGUGGGCACCAGCUGGUCUUAAAGGGAGCGUGGUGAGGAAGCAUGAACCAGGCCGCCCUGGAUGCUGCAUGACUGGUCAAAGGAGCAUUCACCCGGAACAGGGGCCGGGGGCCAACAGCCUGGGCAGGGGUGGGGGGGUCUGUGGCUGAGAGCCAGUCGGGGUGAGGCUGAAACAGACAUGUCUCCUUUACGAAAACUCGCCAUAUGUGGGGACCAUUAAAAUGCAGUUGAGUCAGGCCAAGAGAGACCGCACUUCUCCCUCGGCCCCUUGUGGCUGGAGCUGGCGUCGCUAGGACCUGGGGCCAGGUGGCACCUAGGUGGGAGCCCUCCGAGAAGGGCCAUCCCUCCGGAGUGCAGACUCCCCUUCCUCUCCCUGCAGGUGGGUGCAGCCAGCCUCUGAAGGAGAGGGGAGGGCCAGCGGGAGUCCCAGGUGGGAAGGAGACUCUGUGAUUGCGAUGAUAAACUCCACAAUGGCUGACAUUUUGAUAACCAGAUUGGCUUACAGAAACUACUGACCUGCUGUAUUAGUUUGCUUGGGUUGCCGUAGCAAAACACCACAGACCGGGUGGCUUAAACAGCAGAGGUUUAUUUCCUCACAGUUCUGGAGGCUGGGAGUCUGAGAUCAAGGUGCUGGCAGAGUUGGUUUCUUCUUAGGUCUCUCGCCUUGGCUUGUAGACGGCCUGCUGCUUGCUGUGUCUUCACGUGGCCUGUGUCCUCACCCCUUUUUAUAAGGACACCAGUCACACUAGUUUAGGGCUCACCCCAGUGGUCUUGUUUUACCUUAACUACCUUUUAAAGGCUCUGUCUCCAUACGUUUGUUUUCUAAGCCUGGGAGUCUGUUUCUGUUUUGUAAGUUCAUUUGUAUCAUUUUUUUUAGAUUCCACAUAUAAGUGAUGUCAUAUGAUAUUUGUCUUUCUCUGUCUGACUUGCUUAGUAUGGCGGGGCAGGGAGGGAUAGACUGGGAGUUUGGGGUUAACAUAAACACACUACUAUAUAUAAAAUAGAUAACCGACAAGGACCUACUGUGUAGCACAGGGAACUCUACUCAAUAUUCUGUAAUAACCUAUAUGGGAAAAGAAUCUGAAAAAGAAUGGAUAAAUGUAUAUGUAUAACUGAAUCACUUUGCUGUACACCUGAAAGUAACAACAUUGUACAUCAACUAUACUCCAAUAUAAAAUAAAAAUUAAAUUAAAAAUAAAUUAAAAAAAAUUUAAAAGUGCCUG